Molecule: ribosomal RNA, 502 nt
Filed under: uncultured bacterium
Lineage: Bacteria
Description: partial 16S ribosomal RNA
Rfam family: Bacterial small subunit ribosomal RNA
Source: RNAcentral
AUUGAACGCUGGCGGCAGGCUUAGCACAUGCAAGUCGAGCGGGGUGAUGGUGCUUGCACCAUCACUUAGCGGCGGACGGGUGAGUAAUGCUUAGGAAUCUGCCUAUUAGUGGGGGACAACAUCUCGAAAGGGAUGCUAAUACCGCAUACGUCCUACGGGAGAAAGCAGGGGAUCACUUGUGACCUUGCGCUAAUAGAUGAGCCUAAGUCGUAUUAGCUAGUUGGUGGGGUAAGGGCCUACCAAGGCGACGAUCUGUAGCGGGUCUGAGAGGAUGAUCCGCCACACUGGGACUGAGACACGGCCCAGACUCCUACGGGAGGCAGCAGUGGGGAAUAUUGGACAAUGGGGGAACCCUGAUCCAGCCAUGCCGCGUGUGUGAAGAAGGCCUUAUGGUUGUAAAGCACUUUAAGCGAGGAGGAGGCUCUUUUGGUUAAUACCCAAGAUGAGUGGACGUUACUCGCAGAAUAAGCACCGGCUAACUCUGUGCCAGCCGCCGCAGUAA